AGAGAGACGAGUCUCAGCUUGAAAAUAUUGAAUAUUAUUUAGAGAUGGAUCUCAAUCCUAAAAUUUCAAAAGCACAAGUUCCAUAUGUGAUUCUGUUUUUUACAAACAAGCUCAAUGCAAAAAAGUUCAAAACUUAACACACCUUAUUUUAGUGACAGAGUUCAAAACAAAAGGAAUAGGAAACACUCUUAUUUUACAACCCAAGAAACACCAAUCUCAAACACACAAAAAUGACAUCACAACAAAACAACGACAAGAGUAAUAUCUAAGGUUAAAGCACAGUGAUUGGACUGGUUACUGUGUGCUUGCCAUCUGUCCAAGAUAAAUUCCCAAAUAAGGGUAACCCAUGUGGCACUCCAUUUGCCUGCAGAGUAACAUGAAACGUCUGCUUUUCUCCGGUUUUCUUAAAAGUCAAGGAACUUGGUUCAACAACAAUCUUAAUCCCUUUGGGUGGAUUAGUACUCACAUUAUAUUUGCCUGGAGGCCCAACGUUUGUAACAGUGCGAGUAACAUGCUUAGGCUUUGAAGUGGGAUGAUGUAUUGUAAUUGAAGGGUAGUUAAGAUCUUCAAUUUUGAAAGACUUUGGACAUUUGUAAGGGACUUCCAAAUUGGCAAAAAACUUGAGAAGGGCUUGAUUGUAACCAGAAGCACAUAAGAAGUUCAAGUAAUCAGUUGUGUUUAGAUCAUAAACGAGUCCAGGGUCUAUUGCAAGGUUAGGUUGAACGUGUCCGGCACCGUAUUCAAAUGGAGUUGCUACCUUAUCAAAUGCAUUCUGAAUUGGUUUCUUCGUGUUAUCUAAAGUUGUAGCUGAAAUCAAUCAAGAGCAUGGUUGUCAAUAAGGCACCAAUUCUUUUCCAGAUAACAUUUUGUAUUUUGUAAAUGCGAGAAAACAUUUUGUUAAGAAUGCAUGGUGUACCUGUAGUCAUAAUAGCAGAUUUGAUGGCUGCGGGACUCCAGGUUGGAUGGUAGGUUUUGAGAAGACCCGCAAUGCCAGCAACAUGAGGACAGGCCAUAGAAGUUCCUUGUUGCACAUUGAAAAGAGUCCUACGUGUAUCUGAUGCAAGAUUAGAAGGACCCGCGGCUUGUGAAAAGGCAGCAAUUAUACCCACACCCGGACCAGUUAUGUCAGGCUGAAACACAUUAACAAACAAAUUACCUUACAAAUCAAAAAUCACGCAUCUUCCCAUGUUUUUAUAACAAAAUGUAAAGAUAUAUUGUAGACCUUUAGUAUCAACGGUUGCACCAGACUAGGACCCCUAGAUGAGAAUCCAGCCAUGAUUGGAGCUGGCUUUACAUUUAGAUGUGUUUUUGCAGCACUCAAGUAGGCAAAUAUCCUGCAACAUAUUUAUAAAUUCAUGGAAUGCUUCACUAUAUACACACAGAAUUAAUACGAGGUAAUAAUAUAUGACUUUACCCGCCACCGCCGCUUGUACCGGCGGCUGUACGAUUGGCAUAAUCAGUAUCUGUUCCACUUAUACUUCCAGCAGGUAAAACUUGAUUUUCGGCCAGAAGUAAAUUUCCACUUUCCUUAUCAUUCUGCACCAAAACUGCCACAGCACCGGCAAGUUUACCCUGUUCACCCUCUUUAACAGAUUGUAAUUUAUCACUUCGAAGACAGACAAGUAUUUUCCCUUUUACUUUGGUAGGAUCAAGAGUUCCCGGUUUGCAAACACGCCUGCACCAACAUACACAUGUGAGGCAACAAGUAUAAGUGUUUGAAGCAAUGCUGGGAAAUAAAAAUAGAGCUUACGCGUCAUCAGCGGAGGCAUUACGAAGCUUUGCUUUGACAGAAAAUAUGAUGGGAUAAAACUUUCGCUCAUUUCGUCGAAAGCCUCGAUUAAGACUGGCAACCUGAUAGAAGUGCAGUGAAAUUAUUAAGUGAAUAAAACAAAAGUACAAAUGCAUGUUGAGAAUAGGAUAGAAAGAUGAUACCUCAACUUUUUUGUCCUUGCCAAGAGAAAGGGUGCUGAGGAAAUCCCUAUCCAUGGUGCUGGCAGCAACGGUGAAGGACCAGGGUGCGACGUUUGUGACAGUUGAAGGUGAGGGGCCAUCAUUUCCAGCAGAGCAAACAACGACAAUAUUUUUUUGGACUGCAUGGAAUGAUCCUAUAGAAAUACCAUCCGUUAACAGAGCUUCCCUGUAGGGAUUGGACCAACCAAUAGAGGCGGAGAUGACAUCAACGCCAUCAUAAAUUGCAUGAUCAAAAGCUGCCAGUAAAUCUGCUUCGUGGCACCCUCCUGUGUCCAGUUUAUUCCAACAUGCUUUGUAGGCCACAAGGCGAGCUUUUGGGGACCCUCCCUUAGCAGUGCCUUUGCCAUUACGUUCUACAUUCGCACCAGGAACAAAUCUACCACCUGCAGUUGAUAAAGUGUGGCUCCCAUGCCCUACGAAGUCACGUGCACUGCGGAACGCGCUCUCAAUCUUCCCAACUUCCGCCUCGCGAUUCUUCAAGAAUAUUCUUGCUCCGAUCAACUUCCUGAAUCUUCUACUAUGUUAGCUUCUACCACGUUUCCCAUACGACGACACCGUUUUUCAAUGAUAAACAUUGCAGCAAUAAUAUACUAAUAUAUGGGUAAAGUAAUCUUUCGCUUUACGAUGAUUGAAAUAAGAAAGAAAAAUGACCUGUUACAAAAAUGUUUUUGUGUAGUGUUAUAACUGUCAAUUUCACAAACACCUUUCCCGCGCCACUUUUCAGGUACUGCCCGGUAUCCUUUGUCGUUAAAGCUUGGGUGUUCUGGCCAAACUCCUGCUCAACAGUAAGUGAAUUAGCAUAAAAAUGUAUAGAAUAAUGGAUCUCUAUAUAUCACUACAUAUAGAUACAAAUUCAAAUUUCUAUUAGAAAAUAUAUUUUUAAAUUCAAUAUUUAUAAAGAUUUUAAGAUUUUAUAUUGAAAGUAUACUUAUGACUCCUCUCUGAUGAAAGAUCCAACAUUUAUCCAACAUUACAAAUAUUAAUAUGAAUUUAUUUAAUUGGAGAGGAUCGCGAGAUAAUUAUUUUAGCAUUUUCUAGUUAUCCUAUAAUUUUAUUCGUAUGCAAACAUUUUGUUUUCCAUUUUUAAUUCAGUUUUAGAAAAAGAAAUGAUAUUGAACAACGAUGCUAACAAUGCAGCACCAAGAGUGGAAUUGAAGUAUUUAAAAAAUUAUUUAAUACAAUUAUAAGACAUGGUCAACUGUUAAAGAAUUUGAUUAAAUGAUGUUUUAAUUUCAAAAUAAUGAUGAUUAAAUUAAGAAUAGUUUGGAGAUUUCUUUUAUAGUUAAUAAAAUAGUGUUACUCGGAAGCUUUUGACUAAAAGAAAUUAAGUUAACAUACAUCUAAAAUAUAAUUAGUUUUGUUGAAUAAUUGGUUAAAUGAGUAUUAUUUUAAAAAUUAUUGUCUCUAAGCCAAGAAGAAUAAUAGCCCUUAAUUAUAGGCAUAAUUUUAUUAAUUAUUAUAUUAAAGUUGACUUGAAAAAGAUUUAAAAUAUAUUAUAACAAAGGAAAAUAAUAUUUUCACACCAAUUUUUUGACACCAUUUUGACACUGCACACGUGUUAAAAUGUGGUUGGAUAAUUUCAAAUUAAAAAAAAAAAUGGUUUUUUUCUUCCAAAUAUACUCUUGUCUCAGUUUUAUUAAUUUGAAAUCGUCCAACCACGUUUUGACAUCUGUGCAGUGUCAAAAUAGUGUCAAAAAUUGAUGUUAAAAUAUCAUUUUCUUGUAACAAAAUGUGACUACUGUGAAUUUGAUUAAAUAAAUAUUUCAAUUUAAAAAUGUCACAUGAUAUAAAAAUACCACUUAAGAGUAUAGAAGGGGUCUGUGUAUACCAAGUGGUGCAGGUCUCUCGUAUCUCAAACUUCCAUGGGUGAUCAUCACCAUAAGUUUUAAAUAAAGAGCAAGCAAACCUGUAUCAAUGUUGGCUAUGAUUGUGUUUUCCCCAUAUCUUGCUUUUCUCCAAGCAGAGUUUUCAGCAACUUUUCCAUUCUUUUCCAGUCCCAGAAAAUCCCAUGACCUCGUAGUGUGCAAUUUGUGCUCUUUGCUCAAGAAAACAGAAACUACCUCUGGGUACUCUGUUUCACACCAAAAUUGUGUGGCUUCGAUAUAUGCACAAAAUAAGGGACAUGCUAAUAAUCACACAAACAAUAUCUGCUUACCUGCAAUUUCUGCUGCUUCUUCCUCUUCAAGCAAGGCCGCGAAGCCAUUGAUAUGCUUGUUGUAAGAGUACAUUAUUGCUUCCUUUGCGUCCUCAUGACUGUUAAAGUAACAGACUUUAAUAAAUGCCAAUGUCAGGAUAACAUUAAUUUAACAGAACAAAUGUGUUAGUUGUAUUACCUUCCUAAGACAGAAGCGAGUAAUUCAUGAUGGGAAUUUGUUGCUGUUUCAAGAUCAGUGGGAGAAGGCUCUGGACCAUGAGAGUGCCCUCCCAAGUACACAAUGUACGUCUGAAAACAGAGCACCCAUGAUUAAAUUUCUGUGUUACAUCUGUUCAAUAAAUUAACAGUGAAAACAUGAAAUGCAAUGCAGAGGUUACUUGCCUUUCUAAGGGCAUUGGCGGGUUCCUGCAAGAAAGUGCAGAGAAGGAAUGAUGACAGAAGAAGUUUGAAGACGGAGAAUGUCAUCACUCUCAUGUAACUUCAACUCUUUGUUUUGGUGUGCUCUGUUCCACUCCUCUGCCUCUGCUUAUAUUGGGAAAAAAAGUAUCAACUAUUUACCCUGUUUUUUCCUUUCUAUCAUACUUCAAUUUCACUUUUUUUAUCUUUCCCAUUUUGUUUAUCAUGGUAUCAUUCAAUAAAUUAUUAUAUAAAUUAUUUUUCCAUUUUUUCUUAUUCUUUUCACUUCAUUGUACUUCCAAAAAAAAAAAAUUCAUUGCACACUCAUCAGUAUUUCCUUUGUACUUUAUUCUAUAUAAAUCCGCUUUCCUUUUAUUGGUGUAUGAUUAUGACAUGAGAAUGAUUGAUGUACGAAAGGUACAUAUACUUAGCAACUGAUAAAUAGAUGCUCAUAAAAAAAAAAAAAAGAGUAGUGUAUAUAAAGAUGGAUAUUAUUUAUAAUUUAAGUCUGUAUUUUUCUUAUAUUUGAGAUAUUUUAUCUUCAUGUAAUAUUUGUAGUCUUAUCAAUAUAAAAAAUAUAUUUGAUAAAUUUAAGCAAAAGUAUCUUCAAAUGUAAGUACAGUUCAAUGAAUGAUUAAAUAUAAAUUAUAGUUCAAUUAAAACAAUUAUUUACAUCAACAUGCAUGGAAUAUGUUGUAAAGAAAAUAAGAUAUUAAACUUAACGAAACCUAAUAAUUAUAUGAAACGAAUAAGAUAUGAAAACCUAAUUUUAUAUUUCUUUCAAAGGUAAUCUUCAAAAUUGAAUUUAUUAAUUAUAUGACACCAAUAAAAGUUUAGAUUUAGAUAAAUUGUUAGUAUAUAAAAGUCCUUUUAUAUAUAUAGCUUAAAAAAUAUCUAUAUCAAUUUCGAACUAGUAUAGAUACAAAUGAUAUAGAAAAUUAAAUUUUUUUAUAAUGGUUAAAAUUAUAAUCAAUAUAAAAAGUCCACUUUAGAUAAUUUGUUAUUUUUUCUUUUUUCUCUUUUUCUCUUUUUUGUAUAUGUCAUGUUCUGCUUGCAUUAUGAAAUAUAUGUUUUUAUUGCCUCUUUCACAAUUUCACAUCUACUAUACUGCACCUUCACCAUUUUUCCUCAAUUUUUCAUCUUCUCCAACAUGCACUAGAAAACAUAAUGUUACAACACCUCGUUCAAAGUCAUUGAAUCACUACAUGAAAUUCUUUAAAUUCCUAGUCUUUUAAGGAGAGUGGAAAUGUGAUUAAUAAACUUUUUAUAAAGACAAGGUAUAUUUAGUGUUGGUUUUAAUAGUUGUAAAUUUUAAAUUCCUAAUAUUGGAUGCAAAUAAUGAUAUCUUAUCCUUUUACUUUUGUUGUGAGUUGUAAUUGUAAUGAUUAUAUUUAACACAAUGAACUUCUAUCUUUAUGUUAUUUAAAGAUUAAAUAUGUUUUUAAUUUUUAAAUUUAGACAUAAAAUUAAAAUUUGUUAAUUUCUUAAACUUUAAAAUUAAUUAAUAUAAUAUUUUUAAUUAAAUAUUUUUAAAUUUACUUUAAACAUAUUUUAAGUUAAUAUUUGAGUUGAAACGUACUAAAUAGUAUAUUAAAUAGUGUUAAAGCAAUUGGAUUAAUAAAAUCGUAUCUAUUCACUUUUAAAAUUUAAAGAUCAAAUUGUAUUAAAAUUUGAGAUAACAUGUCAAAGUUUAAUUAAAUACUUAAAAAAUACUUAAUCCUAUUAUUUAACUCUUUUCAAUUUAUAUGAGAUUAUAUUUAUAUGUUUUCUAAACUUAAGUUCCUGAGUUUCAUAUGUGCUUGUCUUUACAUGCGUGUGAAUUAAAUUUUAAAAACUUUCACAUCAAAAUUUUGAAAAAAGAAAUAAAAAAUUAAGUAAUUUACUUUUAAAUUAGCAUCAAUAAUAUAAUAGAAUAAUGUUAUUCCGAAGGUCAUAUCGUAAGAUCUCUCAUUUUAGACAUGCAUCUUAUAAUUUUUUUUAUUAGAAUAUAUUAUAUGACAUAAUAUUUAAGAUACAAAAUUUUAAAUAAUAAAUAUAGAAGAUUCAUUUUUUAAAAAGACAACUGUCCACCCAAUUCUAGUAGAAAAAAUAUUAUUAAAGUAAAUUAAUGUCGUAUUGAAACAAAAAUUACAUUAAAAUCUCAGAAACAAUAUAACAAAGUGAUAAAACAAAAAAGUUAAAACCUUAUAUUAUAAACAUUCCAAUGAAAAUAACCUAAAAUGUUUUAAAAAAAGUGAUACUCGUAUCCACAUUAAAUUCUAGUUAAUUAACCAUUUAAAAAUUCGGUUCUUUAGUAUAUAUAUUGGAUUUCUUUUUAUAUAGAAUAUAUCUUGUUCUUUUAAACGGUCCACGGUCAGCCCCAUAACUACCACUGCUUCUAUGUACCUACCAUGACAUAGAAUAGAGAAAAUGAAGUUACGAGGAAGCAAAGUAACACAGAAGACACUUAUAACUACAAGAAGCAUUAUUCUUGCACCGUUGGCGGUAGUAACAGAGCAGAGAAUAUGGGGAAGAAAAGUAUAAUUUUGUUCCCAAUUUAAGUCAUUGGUUAGCCAAUCACCAUUGUUAAGUGGAAAGGGAAAAUUUUCUAAGAAACUUCUCUGCCAUAUUAUCUCCAAUAACGAAAGAGCUACUUACUUUAGUUCCAAUGUUUGUGCCAAUUACGAACGAACUAGUUCAGAUGCAACAAAGUUCAAUACCACAACAGUCUAAACAUACCUUAGUUUUGUGACAAAGUUGAAUGCAACAGGAAUAGGAAACACACCUAAAUAUAACCUAUAAACAAUAGCAAACACAAAUACAAACACAAAUGACAAAGAUGACCGUAAAUAAUAUGGUUACAACACUGUAAUAGGACUAGUUACAUUGUGUUUGCCAUCUGUCCAAGUCAAAUUCCCAAAUAAAGGUAACCCUCUGGGCGUUGCAAUUGCCUGCAGAAUAACCCAAAACCUCUUCUUUUCUCCAGUUCUCUUAAAAGUCAAGGAGGUUGGUAGGACACGAACCUUUAUCCCCCUGGGCCCAUGAGCAUUCACAACAUACGUGCCUGGAGCUCCAACGUUUGUAACAAUGCGAGUAACAUUUAUAGGCUUUGAGGCAGGAUGAUGCACCGUAAUAGAAGGAUAAUUCAGAUCCUCGAUUCUGUAAGACUCGGGACAUUUGUAAGAGAUUUUAUAAUUGGAAAACAAUGUGAGUAGAGCUUGAUUGUAACCAGAAGCACAUAAGAAGUUCAAGUAAUCAGUUGUGUUUAGAUCAUAAACGAGUCCAGGGUCUAUUGCAAGGUUAGGCCGAACAAGUCCAGCUCCGUACUCGAAUGGAGUUGCUACCUUAUCAAAUGCAUCCCGGAUUGGUUUAUUCGUGUUAUCUAGAGU
Molecule: long non-coding RNA, 7890 nt
Filed under: Vigna radiata
Lineage: Eukaryota; Viridiplantae; Streptophyta; Magnoliopsida; Fabales; Fabaceae
Description: long non-coding RNA (VRAD_LNC004434)
Source: RNAcentral